AGCGAACGCUGGCGGCAGGCCUAAUACAUGCAAGUCGAACGGCCCUUCGGGGCAGUGGCGGACGGGUGAGUAACACGUGGGAACGUGCCCUUUGGUACGGAACAACUGAGGGAAACUUCAGCUAAUACCGUAUGUGCCCUUCGGGGGAAAGAUUUAUCGCCAUUGGAGCGGCCCGCGUUGGAUUAGCUAGUUGGUGGGGUAAAGGCCCACCAAGGCUACGAUCCAUAGCUGGUCUGAGAGGAUGAUCAGCCACACUGGGACUGAGACACGGCCCAGACUCCUACGGGAGGCAGCAGUAGGGAAUCUUGCGCAAUGGGCGAAAGCCUGACGCAGCCAUGCCGCGUGAAUGAUGAAGUUCUUAGGAUUGUAAAAUUCUUUCACCGGGGAAGAUAAUGACGGUACCCGGAGAAGAAGCCCCGGCUAACUUCGUGCCAGCCGCCGCGGUAA
This 447-nucleotide ribosomal RNA is filed under the name uncultured bacterium. Its description in RNAcentral is "partial 16S ribosomal RNA". It matches the Rfam family "Bacterial small subunit ribosomal RNA", at positions 29 to 523 of the family's 1533-position model. The record is from RNAcentral.